GGCUCGUGACUCUCCUCCAGCACUCCUCCGUUGGUAUGGCUGCCUCCGUUGGUAUGGCUGCCGCGGGUGGCGGCCAGCCACGAGGAGCAGCGCCUUAGCAUAACCAACACUAUGUGCUACAGUCAAGCCACAAAUGCUGGAGACAUUCUCUUCUUACUGUAGCUCCACAGAAGACAUGGUCAGCAGGCCUGGUGGCGCAGGCCUACAAUCUCUGCUACUCAGGAGGCCGAGGCAGGAGGAUUAUUCAUUGAAGGCUAGGAAGGGAAGACCUUUCCUCAAAAUAAAAAGUAAAGUUUCUGAAGAUAUACCGAGAUCUAGGAGGCAGGAUAUUCUGUUUAUAUGUUCACAAACAGUAUCCAGCCUUGUCUAUUUUGUUAGAUCAGUGGAAAAUGGAUAAACUCAUCAUGCAAUUCUGUGGUUCUACACCGAAGUAUAUUAUACCUCAAAGAACUGAAAGCAGAAACUCCAACACACAGUUGAACAUCAAUAGUCAUUGCAGCAUAAUUUGCAAAGGGAAAUGUUAAAAAAAAAUGUGUUCAUGUAACAGAUGAAUGAAUAAAAUGUGAUGCACACAUAAAA
Long non-coding RNA from Peromyscus eremicus (cactus mouse), 579 nucleotides. RefSeq lists it as uncharacterized. Lineage: Eukaryota; Metazoa; Chordata; Mammalia; Rodentia; Cricetidae. The record is from RefSeq and is a predicted model, not a curated record. The transcript has 3 exons.